RNAcentral lists this ribosomal RNA (435 nucleotides) under uncultured bacterium. Its description in RNAcentral is "partial 16S ribosomal RNA". It matches the Rfam family "Bacterial small subunit ribosomal RNA", at positions 29 to 507 of the family's 1533-position model. The record is from RNAcentral.
AACGAACGCUGGCGGCAUGCCUAACACAUGCAAGUCGAACGAUUGCCUUCGGGUGAUAGUGGCGCACGGGUGCGUAACGCGUGGGAAUCUGCCCUUAGGUUCGGAAUAACAGCUGGAAACGGCUGCUAAUACCGGAUGAUAUCGCGAGAUCAAAGAUUUAUCGCCUGAGGAUGAGCCCGCGUUGGAUUAGGUAGUUGGUGGGGUAAAGGCCUACCAAGCCGACGAUCCAUAGCUGGUCUGAGAGGAGGAUCAGCCACACUGGGACUGAGCGCCGGCCCAGACUCCUGCGGGAGGCAGAGGGGGGGAAUAUGGGACAGGGGGGGCAGGCUUGACCCAGCAUUGCGGGGGGAGGAAUGAAGCCCGGAGGGUGGAAAAGCUUUUUUACCGGGAAAGAAAAUGACUGUCCCGGGAAAAAAAGCCCCGGCUAACUCCGUG